Molecule: ribosomal RNA, 600 nt
Filed under: uncultured bacterium
Lineage: Bacteria
Description: partial 16S ribosomal RNA
Source: RNAcentral
CGGGUUACAACCGGGGGGACGGGGUUAAUAUGUCUNUGGGGAACGUGNGCUUUGGAUAUGGGGGGGAACGGGGGGACGGUAGCUAAUACCUGCAUAACGUCGCAAGACCAAAGAGGGGGGACCUUUCGGGGCCUCUUGCCAUCAGAUUGUUGCCAAGAUUGGGAUUUAGCUAGUAAGUUGGGGUAACGGGUCACCUAGGCGAAGGAAUCCCUUAGCUUGGUCUGGAGCAGGGAUUGACCCAGCCCACACUGGGAACUUGAGAACACCGGGUCCAGAACUCCCUUAACCGGGGAGGCCAGCGCAAGUUGGGGGAACUAUUUGGCGCCANUUGGGGCCGGCCAAAGGCCCUUGAUUUGCCAAGCCCAAUUGCCCGGCGGGUGUAUUCGAAAGGAAGGGCCUUUCGGGGGUUUGGUACAAGGUUACUUUUUCCAAGCGGGGGCGCGAAGGAAAGGGGGUUGUUUAGCUGGGUUUAAAGUAACCCAACAGGCACAAUUUGACGGUUUACCCCGGCAAGAACAGGAAAAGCCGAACCCGGGGGUUAAAACUUCCGGUUGACACCAGGCCAAGCCCNGGCGGGGAUAAUUAACCGGGAAAGGGGUU